Molecule: ribosomal RNA, 253 nt
Filed under: uncultured bacterium
Lineage: Bacteria
Description: partial 16S ribosomal RNA
Rfam family: Bacterial small subunit ribosomal RNA
Source: RNAcentral
UACGAAGGGGGCUAGCGUUGCUCGGAAUUACUGGGCGUAAAGGGCGCGUAGGCGGCACUGUUAGUCAGGCGUGAAAGUCCUGGGCUCAACCUGGGAACUGCGCUUGAUACGGCAGAGCUAGAGGAUGGAAGAGGCUCGCGGAAUUCCCAGUGUAGAGGUGAAAUUCGUAGAUAUUGGGAAGAACACCGAUGGCGAAGGCAGCCAUCUGGACCGACACUGACGCUGAGGCGCGAAAGCGUGGGGAGCAAACAGG